RNAcentral lists this transfer RNA (83 nucleotides) under Candidatus Omnitrophota bacterium. Its description in RNAcentral is "tRNA-Leu". It matches the Rfam family "tRNA". From Rfam's summary of the family: Transfer RNA (tRNA) molecules are approximately 80 nucleotides in length. Their secondary structure includes four short double-helical elements and three loops (D, anti-codon, and T loops). Further hydrogen bonds mediate the characteristic L-shaped molecular structure. tRNAs have two regions of fundamental functional importance: the anti-codon, which is responsible for specific mRNA codon recognition, and the 3' end, to which the tRNAs corresponding amino acid is attached (by aminoacyl-tRNA synthetases). tRNAs cope with the degeneracy of the genetic code in two manners: having more than one tRNA (with a specific anti-codon) for a particular amino acid; and 'wobble' base-pairing, i.e. permitting non-standard base-pairing at the 3rd anti-codon position. Lineage: Bacteria; Pseudomonadati; Candidatus Omnitrophota. The record is from RNAcentral.
GGGCAAGUGGUGGAAUGGCAUACACGUUGGACUUAAAAUCCAAUGGCCGUAAGGCUGUGUGGGUUCAACUCCCACCUUGCCCA